AUUGAACGCUGGCGGCAGGCCUAACACAUGCAAGUCGAGCGGAUGAAGGGAGCUUGCUCCUGGAUUCAGCGGCGGACGGGUGAGUAAUGCCUAGGAAUCUGCCUGGUAGUGGGGGAUAACGUCCGGAAACGGGCGCUAAUACCGCAUACGUCCUGAGGGAGAAAGUGGGGGAUCUUCGGACCUCACGCUAUCAGAUGAGCCUAGGUCGGAUUAGCUAGUUGGUGGGGUAAAGGCCUACCAAGGCGACGAUCCGUAACUGGUCUGAGAGGAUGAUCGGUCACACUGGAACUGAGACACGGUCCAGACUCCUACGGGAGGCAGCAGUGGGGAAUAUUGGACAAUGGGCGAAAGCCUGAUCCAGCCAUGCCGCGUGUGUGAAGAAGGCCUUCGGAUUGUAAAGCACUUUAAGUUGGGAGGAAGGGCAGUAAGUUAAUACCUUGCUGUUUUGACGUUACCAACAGAAUAAGCACCGGCUAACUUCGUG
RNAcentral lists this ribosomal RNA (484 nucleotides) under uncultured bacterium. RNAcentral's name for it is "partial 16S ribosomal RNA". It matches the Rfam family "Bacterial small subunit ribosomal RNA", at positions 30 to 507 of the family's 1533-position model. The record is from RNAcentral.